GAUUAAGCCAUGCAUGUGUUAGUGUAAAUAUCAAAGUUCGGAACUGCGGAUGGCUCAUUAUAUCAGUAAUAGUUUAUUUGGUGAAGUGUACUACUUGGAUAACCGUAGUAAUUCUAGGGCUAAUACAUGAGAAAGUCCUCUGGUGAGGUGUGUUUAUUAGAAUGAAAACCAUAUGCUUCGGCAUGAUAGUGAGUAAUAGUAACCUAUCGUAUCGCAUGCUUAAUGUAGCGAUGAGUCUUUCAAGUUUCUGCCCUAUCAGCUUUCGAUGGUAGUAUAUGGGCCUACCAUG
RNAcentral lists this ribosomal RNA (289 nucleotides) under Blastocystis sp. RNAcentral describes it as "partial small subunit ribosomal RNA". It matches the Rfam family "Eukaryotic small subunit ribosomal RNA", at positions 42 to 348 of the family's 1831-position model. The record is from RNAcentral. Lineage: Eukaryota; Bigyra; Opalinata; Blastocystidae.